CAGUAGCCGCGGGAAUACGAAGGGGGCUAGCGUUGCUCGGAAUCACUGGGCGUAAAGGGUGCGUAGGCGGGUCUUUAAGUCAGGGGUGAAAUCCUGGAGCUCAACUCCAGAACUGCCUUUGAUACUGUUUGUCUUGAGUUCGAGAGAGGUAAGUGGAACUGCGAGUGUAGAGGUGAAAUUCGUAGAUAUUCGCAAGAACACCAGUGGCGAAGGCGGCUUACUGGCUCGAAACUGACGCUGAGGCGCGAAAGCGUGGGGAGCAAACAGGAUUAGAUACCCGUGUAGUCCCUGUCUCUUAUAC
This 301-nucleotide ribosomal RNA is filed under the name uncultured bacterium. RNAcentral's name for it is "partial 16S ribosomal RNA". It matches the Rfam family "Bacterial small subunit ribosomal RNA", at positions 509 to 807 of the family's 1533-position model. The record is from RNAcentral.